GAUGAACGCUGGCGGCGUGCCUAAUACAUGCAAGUCGAGCGAACAGAUGAGGAGCUUGCUCCUCUGACGUUAGCGGCGGACGGGUGAGUAACACGUGGAUAACCUACCUAUAAGACUGGGAUAACUUCGGGAAACCGGAGCUAAUACCGGAUAAUAUAUUGAACAGCAUGGUUCAAUAGUGAAAGACGGUUUUGCUGUCACUUAUAGAUGGAUCCGCGCCGCAUUAGCUAGUUGGUAAGGUAACGGCUUACCAAGGCAACGAUGCGUAGCCGACCUGAGAGGGUGAUCGGCCACACUGGAACUGAGACACGGUCCAGACUCCUACGGGAGGCAGCAGUCGGGAAUCUUCCGCAAUGGGCGAAAGCUUGACGGAGCAACGCCGCGUGAGUGAUGAAGGUCUUCGGAUCGUAAAACUCUGUUAUUAGGGAAGAACAAAUGUGUAAGUAACUAUGCACGUCUUGACGGUACCUAAUCAGAAAGCCACGGCUAACUACGUG
Molecule: ribosomal RNA, 497 nt
Filed under: uncultured bacterium
Lineage: Bacteria
Description: partial 16S ribosomal RNA
Rfam family: Bacterial small subunit ribosomal RNA
Source: RNAcentral